This is a long non-coding RNA of Cylas formicarius (sweet potato weevil), 646 nucleotides long. RefSeq lists it as uncharacterized. Lineage: Eukaryota; Metazoa; Arthropoda; Insecta; Coleoptera; Brentidae. The transcript is spliced from 2 exons. The record is from RefSeq and is a predicted model, not a curated record.
UAAGUCACAAUAGCAUAGGAGCUGUGUUCAAAAAGCAAGUUGAAUUUUAAGUUUUAUCAAAAAGUAUUUAAUUGUUUAUCAAAAUUAAUGUUGCUUCCUUCAAAGUAAUCCCCCCCCCCCCCUCUUGUGCCAACGUUUUUUUCCAAUCCUCGAAGCACUUCUGGGUUUCUGGAGUUUUGGGAACAGGAAAAAGUCCCAGAGGGCCACAUUCGGUGAAUAUGGUUGCUGAGGCAUAAUUAUGGUUCUGUUUUUGGACAAAAAGUUAGACACAAGCAACGAUAAUACUCUCUAAUGACCGUAGGACUUGUAAAUAGUCAGUAGAACCUUGACAUAUCUCCGAAAAUAUCCGAUUGCUCACAAGCCCGUGCGGUAACAUCCCGGAAACGUCCGAAGUGGCUUGGAUCCGUGGGAAAUGAAACUGAUCUGGUAAAAUGACACUUUCCGCACGUAUAAUUAAAAUACGUGCCUAUUCAAAGUACGUAGCAAACUUUUAGAAUAGAAAUAAUUAGGUGAAAAUUAGGUAUGGUAAAGCUCAAUAAAAUUUAUAUUUUUUUCUGUAGUGUGUACGUUUGUGAUAUUUUGUUUUAAAGUUUACUGUAGCAGCUAUCGAAACCUCACCAGUAGUUGUAAUAUAAAAUUGACACCG